This 220-nucleotide ribosomal RNA is filed under the name Staphylococcus aureus. RNAcentral's name for it is "partial 16S ribosomal RNA". It matches the Rfam family "Bacterial small subunit ribosomal RNA", at positions 1 to 214 of the family's 1533-position model. The record is from RNAcentral. Lineage: Bacteria; Bacillati; Bacillota; Bacilli; Caryophanales; Staphylococcaceae.
UUUAUGGAGAGUUUGAUCCUGGCUCAGGAUGAACGCUGGCGGCGUGCCUAAUACAUGCAAGUCGAGCGAACGGACGAGAAGCUUGCUUCUCUGAUGUUAGCGGCGGACGGGUGAGUAACACGUGGAUAACCUACCUAUAAGACUGGGAUAACUUCGGGAAACCGGAGCUAAUACCGGAUAAUAUUUUGAACCGCAUGGUUCAUAAGUGAAAGACGGUCUU